UACGGGGGGGGCAAGCGUUGUUCGGAAUUACUGGGCGUAAAGGGCGCGUAGGCGGCCUUCUAAGUCGAACGUGAAAUCCCCGGGCUCAACCCGGGAACUGCGUCCGAUACUGGAAGGCUUGAAUCCGGGAGAGGGAUGUGGAAUUCCAGGUGUAGCGGUGAAAUGCGUAGAUAUCUGGAGGAACACCGGUGGCGAAGGCGACAUCCUGGACCGGUAUUGACGCUGAGGCGCGAAAGCCAGGGGAGCAAACAGG
This 253-nucleotide ribosomal RNA is filed under the name uncultured bacterium. RNAcentral's name for it is "partial 16S ribosomal RNA". It matches the Rfam family "Bacterial small subunit ribosomal RNA", at positions 524 to 776 of the family's 1533-position model. The record is from RNAcentral.